RNAcentral lists this transfer RNA (65 nucleotides) under Cerynia lineola. Its description in RNAcentral is "tRNA-Met". Lineage: Eukaryota; Metazoa; Arthropoda; Insecta; Hemiptera; Flatidae. The record is from RNAcentral.
AAAAAGAUAAGCUAAAUGAAGCUAAUGGGUUCAUACCCCAUACAUGAAAAAAAAUUCUCUUUUUA